This is a non-coding RNA of Parelaphostrongylus tenuis, 69 nucleotides long. NCBI's taxonomy places the organism in Eukaryota, Metazoa, Nematoda, Chromadorea, Rhabditida, Metastrongylidae. The record is from the annotation of a GenBank genome assembly.
ACCCCGGUAGUGUAUUGGUAGCACGCGCCCGGUAUGCACGAAACGCGGGUUCGACUUCCGCCUGAGGCC